Molecule: ribosomal RNA, 611 nt
Filed under: Entoloma nothofagi
Lineage: Eukaryota; Fungi; Basidiomycota; Agaricomycetes; Agaricales; Entolomataceae
Description: partial large subunit ribosomal RNA
Rfam family: Eukaryotic large subunit ribosomal RNA
Source: RNAcentral
GAAACUAACAAGGAUUCCCCUAGUAACUGCGAGUGAAGCGGGAAAAGCUCAAAUUUAAAAUCUGGUAGUCUUUGGCUGCCCGAGUUGUAAUCUAGAGAAGCGUUAUCCGCGCUGGACCGUGUAUAAGUCUCCUGGAAUGGAGCGUCAUAGAGGGUGAGAAUCCCGUCUUUAACACGGACUCCCAGGGCUUUGUGAUGCGCUCUCAAAGAGUCGAGUUGUUUGGGAAUGCAGCUCUAAAUGGGUGGUAAAUUCCAUCUAAAGCUAAAUAUUGGCGAGAGACCGAUAGCGAACAAGUACCGUGAGGGAAAGAUGAAAAGAACUUUGGAAAGAGAGUUAAACAGUACGUGAAAUUGUUGAAAGGGAAACGCUUGAAGUCAGUCGCGUUGAUCAGGGAUCAACCUUGCUUUUGCUUGGUGUACUUCCUGGUUAACGGGUCAGCAUCAAUUUUGACCAGUGGAAAAAGGUCAGGGGAAUGUGGCAUCUUCGGAUGUGUUAUAGCCUCUGGUCAUAUACAUUGGUUGGGAUUGAGGAACUCAGCACGCCGCAAGGCCGGGUUUUACCACGUUCGUGCUUAGGAUGCUGGCAUAAUGGCUUUAAUCGACCCGUCUUGA